ACUACCAGAUUUCGUUUUAAGAGCUGUAGUUUGUUUGUAUUGUCGCAGUUUGUACGCGGUAGAUAUCCAGAUUAGUGUAGGAUAAGUUUAUGCUUAUACUGGGAUGCCGAGUUUAUUUUUACAGUAGAGUAUAGAUUGUUUAGGUCUGUCGGGUGCUGUCGUGGUUGGCGGUGGACCCAGAUUUCUGUAUUGCAUCAGAUUGUAUCAAGAGCACGUGAGCUUUGGUUGU
Molecule: long non-coding RNA, 229 nt
Filed under: Ananas comosus (pineapple)
Lineage: Eukaryota; Viridiplantae; Streptophyta; Magnoliopsida; Poales; Bromeliaceae
Description: long non-coding RNA (ACOM_LNC024732)
Source: RNAcentral